Non-coding RNA from Heterocephalus glaber (naked mole-rat), 1382 nucleotides. NCBI's taxonomy places the organism in Eukaryota, Metazoa, Chordata, Mammalia, Rodentia, Bathyergidae. The record is from RefSeq and is a predicted model, not a curated record.
ACCUGUGGGCCGAGCCGGCCGGCGCUGCAGAGCCCCUGGCGGUUUCCGCGGCCCCCCGCGCCGCCGCUCCGAGGCGCGGUGCGUGUCCCCGCGGCCUCUGGGCAUCCUUAGCUCCCGGCCUCAGCCGUCCGAGUGCGUGCAGACGCGGAAAGCGGCCGAGCCUGCGGGCUCCUCCGGUUGUGAAAACUUGGCGGAGGCACUGCGCGCGCGGGGGCGGCGCUGGAGUCGUCGCGGACCGGGGUGGCCUGGGCGCACUGGCCUGUCCCCGGCGGGCAGGCGAGGCCCGGAGAGAACUUCGGGAGGCGCGGACCGCCCGGCCCCGUGCGCCCCUCUCUUCCCUCGGCCUCAGCGCUGCUCCGUCCUCAGCCCGGAGUGAGCAGAGAGCGGACCCCGCGGUGGCGCACGGCCAGGCUGCUUCCCGUGGCCUGGGAGCGGCUGAGCUACUCUGGGCCAAGCCGGCAAAACAGUGUGCCCUUCGCCGGCCUGCGGAGCCCGCGAGGACCCCGCAGGCCGAGUGCCGCCAGCUGGGACCCCCCCGGGCCGCUUUGAGGCCACUGGCUGAGACCCGGGCCCAGCGCCCCGCAGCGUCCGCCCUCGGCCCGCGGGGUUCUCCCUCACGCGGACCUGCCACGUGGCCUGGACGGAGGCCGUUCGGCCUGGGCAUCAGGAUGAAGCCUGGUCCUGGGUCUACACUGGGGCGGGCCCUGUCCCUGGUGAGCAGAGCCACAGCUCCCUGGUCUGCAGCUGUGAGGAUGCUCCAGGCCUAGGGACUCGGACAGCACCAGGAAGUCUCGCCUGGGAUUAGCGACAGUGUGACCCGCGAGAGUAAUUACUGCUUACCCGCUCCGAAAUUACCAGCUUCGGUUCUCUGACCUGCCCGGGGCUUCUUCCUGUCCACGCCCCUCCCUGCUGCCCCCCUCCCGGCCAAGGCCAGGGCCCCGUGCCGGCUUUGGCAGAUUUCGGGUGGCCUUCAGUGAGCUGGCGCCGCCCGCUCUGGGAGUCCCCACCCUGCUUCCUCGCCAGGAACCCCAAGCAGGGCCCACUUCCCUCUUCUUUGCACCCCAAGGAACCCCAGCGCUGCCUGGACCUGGGACUGUCUCUCCAGCGUCCUGCUAAGCAAACACCAGUGUGGCAUUUCAAGGUGACAGGUAAACACAGAGGACGAGCGGGUCCGGGCUCCCCAGCGAAGCGGAGGAAGACGUCGGGAGGGCGGGGGACCCGCGAGCCAGGCCCCUCCCCGACCCACCGCCUCCGAAGCCGCCUCCCUGAGCGGACCUAGGGGUCGCUGCGAGGACGGAGUCUUCCCCGGCCCCGGGGGUUUCUAAGUGAAAACCCCGAAAUAAUUCUCCAGGAUUCCGAGGUUCUGCUGCCCAGAGGCCUCA